UUUAUGGAGAGUUUGAUCCUGGCUCAGGAUGAACGCUGGCGGCGUGCCUAAUACAUGCAAGUCGAGCGAACGGACGAGAAGCUUGCUUCUCUGAUGUUAGCGGCGGACGGGUGAGUAACACGUGGAUAACCUACCUAUAAGACUGGGAUAACUUCGGGAAACCGGAGCUAAUACCGGAUAAUAUUUUGAACCGCAUGGUUCAAAAGUGAAAGACGGUCUUGCUGUCACUUGUAGAUGGAUCCGCGCUGCAUUAGCUAGUUGGUAAGGUAACGGCUUACCAAGGCAACGAUGCAUAGCCGACCUGAGAGGG
This 310-nucleotide ribosomal RNA is filed under the name Acinetobacter baumannii. RNAcentral describes it as "bacterial SSU rRNA". It matches the Rfam family "Bacterial small subunit ribosomal RNA", at positions 1 to 300 of the family's 1533-position model. The record is from RNAcentral. Lineage: Bacteria; Pseudomonadati; Pseudomonadota; Gammaproteobacteria; Moraxellales; Moraxellaceae.